UACAGAGGUGGCAAGCGUUGUUCGGAAUUACUGGGCGUAAAGGGCGCGUAGGCGGCCCUACAAGUCACUUGUGAAAUCUCCGGGCUUAACUCGGAACGGCCAAGUGAAACUGUAGAGCUAGAGUGUGGAAGGGGCAAUCGGAAUUCUUGGUGUAGCGGUGAAAUGCGUAGAUAUCAAGAGGAACACCUGAGGUGAAGACGGGUUGCUGGGCCAACACUGACGCUGAGGCGCGAAAGCCAGGGGAGCAAACGGG
This 253-nucleotide ribosomal RNA is filed under the name uncultured bacterium. RNAcentral's name for it is "partial 16S ribosomal RNA". It matches the Rfam family "Bacterial small subunit ribosomal RNA", at positions 524 to 776 of the family's 1533-position model. The record is from RNAcentral.